Molecule: ribosomal RNA, 379 nt
Filed under: uncultured bacterium
Lineage: Bacteria
Description: bacterial SSU rRNA
Rfam family: Bacterial small subunit ribosomal RNA
Source: RNAcentral
ACGCUCGACAGUGUCACAGCCGCGGUAAUACAGAGGGUGCAAGCGUUAAUCGGAAUUACUGGGCGUAAAGACGCGCGUAGGUGGUUUGUUAAGGUUGGAUGUGAAAUCCCCGGGCUCAACUGGGAACUGCAUCCAAAACUGGCAAGCUAGAGUAUGGUAGAGGGUGGUGGAAUUUCCUGUGUAGCGGUGAAAUGCGUAGAUAUAGGAAGGAACACCAGUGGCGAAGGCGACCACCUGGACUGAUACUGACACUGAAGGUGCGAAAAGCGGUGGGGAGCAAACAGGAUUAGAUACCCCUGGGUAGUCCACGACCGUAAACGAUGUCAACUAGCCGGUUGGGAGCCUUGAGCUCUUAGUGGCGCAGCUAACGCAUUAAGUU